Molecule: non-coding RNA, 111 nt
Organism: Acanthosepion pharaonis
Lineage: Eukaryota; Metazoa; Mollusca; Cephalopoda; Sepiida; Sepiidae
Source: the annotation of a GenBank genome assembly
ACAGCCACAUCACACUGGAACACCAGUUCCUGUAUGAUUACCAAAGUUAAGCAACAUUAAGCCUGGUUAGUACUUAGAUGGGCAACUGGUUGGGAAUACCAGAUGCUGUAA